GGUGCGAUACCCAAGUGGUAAGGGAGCAGUCUGCAAAACUGUUAUUCGUCGGUUCAAAUCCGACUCGCACCU
Molecule: transfer RNA, 72 nt
Filed under: Candidatus Endomicrobiellum mastotermitis
Lineage: Bacteria; Pseudomonadati; Elusimicrobiota; Endomicrobiia; Endomicrobiales; Endomicrobiaceae
Description: tRNA-Cys
Rfam family: tRNA
About the family: Transfer RNA (tRNA) molecules are approximately 80 nucleotides in length. Their secondary structure includes four short double-helical elements and three loops (D, anti-codon, and T loops). Further hydrogen bonds mediate the characteristic L-shaped molecular structure. tRNAs have two regions of fundamental functional importance: the anti-codon, which is responsible for specific mRNA codon recognition, and the 3' end, to which the tRNAs corresponding amino acid is attached (by aminoacyl-tRNA synthetases). tRNAs cope with the degeneracy of the genetic code in two manners: having more than one tRNA (with a specific anti-codon) for a particular amino acid; and 'wobble' base-pairing, i.e. permitting non-standard base-pairing at the 3rd anti-codon position.
Source: RNAcentral